AAAUAGACUACCCUGGUAGUCCACGCCGUAAACGAUGGAUACUAGCUGUUUGAGCGCAAGUUUGAGUGGCUAAGCGAAAGUGAUAAGUAUCCCACCUGGGGAGUACGGGCGCAAGCCUGAAACUCAAAGGAAUUGACGGGGGCCCGCACAAGCGGUGGAGCAUGUGGUUUAAUUCGAUGAUACGCGAGGAACCUUACCAGGGCUUAAAUGUAGAUUGACGUAUUUGGAAACAGAUAUUUCUUCGGACAAUUUACAAGGUGCUGCAUGGUUGUCGUCAGCUCGUGCCGUGAGGUGUCAGGUUAAGUCCUAUAACGAGCGCAACCCCUGUUGUUAGUUGCCAGCGAGUAAUGUCGGGAACUCUAGCAAGACUGCCAGUGUAAACUGUGAGGAAGGUGGGGAUGACGUCAAAUCAUCACGGCCCUUACGUCCUGGACCACACACGUGCUGCAAUGGCCGGUACAGAGAGCAGCCACUUAGCGAUAAGGAGCGAAUCUAUAAAGCCGGUCACAGUUCGGAUCGGAGU
RNAcentral lists this ribosomal RNA (523 nucleotides) under uncultured bacterium. RNAcentral describes it as "bacterial SSU rRNA". It matches the Rfam family "Bacterial small subunit ribosomal RNA", at positions 776 to 1304 of the family's 1533-position model. The record is from RNAcentral.